RNAcentral lists this long non-coding RNA (1765 nucleotides) under Sus scrofa (pig). RNAcentral's name for it is "lncRNA (ENSSSCG00005007428.1)". Lineage: Eukaryota; Metazoa; Chordata; Mammalia; Artiodactyla; Suidae. The record is from RNAcentral.
GGGAUUCCAGCUGACAACCCAGUUGAGGUCUUGACUAACUGUCAUCAUCAUCAGCUGCCAGCCCAAUGAGUGAAGGGCUUGCUCCGUGCAGUGGAGUCCCCAAAGCCUCUGAGCCUUUCUAGAUGGCUCGCUCCAGAUGGAGAUGCAGAGAUUAGUUGUCCCUUCAAAUUCCUGACCUAUAAUUAAGUGGUUCCUUCCUACUAAGUUUUGGGGGUGAUUUCUUAUACAAUAAUAACUAGAACAAUAUCUUGGAUGUCAUACUGGGUAAUAUGACCCUUGUUCAUUGAUUUAAGAAUAGGGCUUCUGGAGUCCCCUGGUGGUCUAGUGGUUAAGGAUCGGGCACUGUCACUGCUGUGGCUCUGAUUACUGCUGUGGCUCAGGUUCCCAGGCUAGGGAUCAAAUCAAAUCAAAUGCAGUAUUUUCUGUAGUUUUUGUCAUAAAAAAGAAUCAAUGUUCGGGAGGCAGUGAAUUCAUCAGACUAAAGGGUAGCAUCGCGAUGUCUCUCUUAUUCACUCUGGCUUUAGUCUCUGAGCGAAACACGUGGGCUAGGUGGUCUCCAACGGUUGAUUAUCUUUAAGUUUUUUUAUUUUACUCGUAUAAGAGUUCUACAAUUUCGUCAGUGUGCUGUUUUGUUCAGGAGCAUGAGUUUGGAAGCUGAUUCCUUGAUUCUUAGCCUGAUACUAACGAGCUGCAUCAUUUUGGACAAGUCAUCCAACCUCAGUUCCUUCAUCUGUAAAAUGGGGCUCAUGAUCAUGUCGACUCUGUGGGAUUAUUGAGAACCUUAAAUGAGCUAAUGACUACUCGGAGCAGUAAAUGUCUGACACAGUAAGUUUUAUGAGCAAUGGCUGUCAUUAUCCACUGUCACAUGUUGUUGGCUGUGAUAGUUCAUUCACCUCUUAAAUCCCACGUUGAGAAGACGCUUAAUGAAUGCUUCUUUGUCGCGGGUUUUGUAGACGUGACCAAUUGGGUGUCAAUGAGAUUGCAUGACCCGAGUCCCUUCCACUCAAGGUACCACGUGCUAGGUAAAUCUGAGUUCCAGGAUCAACUGACACUGGAAGUGGGUGUCUCGGGAGUACUGAUUCAUUAUAAAUAAUAGUAAUAAUACACGGAGAAUACGUCACUGUCAAUGUUAAUUAUGGCAGCGUAGCUACUUCCAAGGCUAGAAACUCUAUCUAGAAAUUUUAUGUAUCAUUCCCACACUGUAGCUGAAAGAAAUGCUAGUAACGUUAAUAGGAGGUCUGUAAGAGUUUCAGCGACUCAAAAAGGGACACGUAAAUAGAAUCAUUAGGCACAUUCCUCAAGUUGUCAGUCACACUGGUCGUGGAUUGAAUGUCCUGGGUGUGACUCCACUGGCAAAAAUAUCAGGGACUGUUUUGCAGAACAAAACCUUUCUGGCUGAGAAACCUGAAAGGCUUGCCGUUUAAUUGAUUUCGCUCAUUUGUGGUAGCUGAGCAGGUGAAUGGGAAGAUAACCGAUACCAUCCCGAAAACUUAGGCAGACAGGUGCUUCAUUUCUGCAUAAAAGUAUUCAACACCUGAUGGAAAUGCAAUGCAGGUCGAUGUUUUCUUUCUGCUUUACUUUCUGGACUAUUUCUGGAUUAUGAAGUGCCAAUAAUUGAGAAAGUGGAAGGAACAGCCAAUUAGAUGAGAACGCCCUCAAUUAGAUGUGAGAAGCUGGAAACAGUUGGCUGGGAGAAAGAAGGUUUCUAAUAAUUCCAACCAGAUCUAUUAAUUCUUUUCUAUAGGGAAAAAAAAAAAAACAAAAA